Antechinus flavipes (yellow-footed antechinus) is the source of this 777-nucleotide long non-coding RNA. RefSeq lists it as uncharacterized. The record is from RefSeq and is a predicted model, not a curated record. Lineage: Eukaryota; Metazoa; Chordata; Mammalia; Dasyuromorphia; Dasyuridae. The transcript is spliced from 2 exons.
UUGAGACACCACACACAGAUGUCUGCAAACGACCUCGCGCGCAUCGGCGCUAGUGCGGGGGAGGAAAGCCGGCCCAAGACGCGGGGAUGGCCCUCCGGGGACAGGGCCGGGCCGGCUGCACGCGGCCGCUGCAGGAGCUUCCCGGCUAAGCCGUCCUGCGUCCAAACGCAGCCCCGCCGCUGCGCCGGGCCGGGGCACGAACUGCACUAAGGCCUGCGGACCAACAGCUCUCCGAUGAAAGCCGGCGUUUCAUCCUCAGACGCCGCUUCCGGCUGUCCGAGGGCUGCUCUGACGUCAAGCGCCCUUUCCGCUUCCCGGCCUCGGCGCGGAGGUUCCGGCUGCUUCCCGUUCGCCGGGGCCGGCCUGGAAGCCGAGAGACGGGGUCAGAGCCCCUGGAAAGCCCUCUCUGUCAUCUCCAGUCUUUUCUACGAAUUUCCUGGACUUUUAAGGAGCGGAAGAAACCUUUUUUUUUUUUUCUUAACAACGCGAACGGAAACGCAAAGAACAUUCGGUCCCCUGGCUGGUGGAUGUUCAGAAAGAAAAAAGAAAGUCGCAAGACACAUUUCUCAUCCAUGCUAAGUAUACUCCGGCUUCCCAAGUAUCACUUCAGAGGUGAAGAAGGAUGGUGGAGAAUCUUGGCUAAUGUCACUUAUUACAUCUCAACCUAAGGCAAAGCACUUCAGCUAUGUGGCCCUCAAUUACCCCAUCUAUAAAAUGGGGGAGAUUGCCUUAGCUCCUCUCUGAGGUCUCUUCAGAUUAAAAUAUGUAUAUAAAUGC